This 392-nucleotide ribosomal RNA is filed under the name uncultured bacterium. RNAcentral describes it as "partial 16S ribosomal RNA". It matches the Rfam family "Bacterial small subunit ribosomal RNA", at positions 523 to 918 of the family's 1533-position model. The record is from RNAcentral.
AUACGGAGGAUCCGAGCGUUAUCCGGAUUUAUUGGGUUUAAAGGGUGCGCAGGCGGCCAUUUAAGUCAGCGGUUAAAUCGUGGGGCUCAACCCCAUUCUGCCGUUGAUACUGGGUGGCUUGAUUGCGGUCGAGGUUGGCGGAAUUCGUUGUGUAGCGGUGAAAUGCAUAGAUAUGACGAAGAACACCGAUUGCGUAGGCAGCUGACCAGACCGCAAAUGACGCUCAUGCACGAAAGUGCGGGGAUCGAACAGGAUUAGAUACCCUGGUAGUCCGCACAGUAAACGAUGAAUACUUGUCUUCGGCGAUAUAAUGUCGGAGGCAAAGCGAAAGCGAUAAGUAUUCCACCUGGGGAGUACGCCGGCAACGGUGAAACUUAAAGGAAUUGACGUGG